UUAAGUUAUUAAGGGCGCACGGUGGAUGCCUUGGCACUAGAAGCCGAUGAAGGACGUUACUAACGACGAUAUGCUUUGGGGAGCUGUAAGUAAGCUUUGAUCCAGAGAUUUCCGAAUGGGGAAACCCAGCAUGAGUUAUGUCAUGUUAUCGAUAUGUGAAUACAUAGCAUAUCAGAAGGCACACCCGGAGAACUGAAACAUCUUAGUACCCGGAGGAAGAGAAAGAAAAUUCGAUUCCCUUAGUAGCGGCGAGCGAAACGGGAAGAGCCCAAACCAACAAGCUUGCUUGUUGGGGUUGUAGGACACUCUAUACGGAGUUACAAAGGACGACAUUAGACGAAUCAUCUGGAAAGAUGAAUCAAAGAAGGUAAUAAUCCUGUAGUCGAAAAUGUUGUCUCUCUUGAGUGGAUCCUGAGUACGACGGAGCACGUGAAAUUCCGUCGGAAUCUGGGAGGACCAUCUCCUAAGGCUAAAUACUCUCUAGUGACCGAUAGUGAACCAGUACCGUGAGGGAAAGGUGAAAAGCACCCCGGAAGGGGAGUGAAAUAGAACCUGAAACCGUGUGCUUACAAGUAGUCAGAGCCCGUUAAUGGGUGAUGGCGUGCCUUUUGUAGAAUGAACCGGCGAGUUACGAUUUGAUGCAAGGUUAAGCAGUAAAUGUGGAGCCGUAGCGAAAGCGAGUCUGAAUAGGGCGUUUAGUAUUUGGUCGUAGACCCGAAACCAGGUGAUCUACCCUUGGUCAGGUUGAAGUUCAGGUAACACUGAAUGGAGGACCGAACCGACUUACGUUGAAAAGUGAGCGGAUGAACUGAGGGUAGCGGAGAAAUUCCAAUCGAACCUGGAGAUAGCUGGUUCUCUCCGAAAUAGCUUUAGGGCUAGCCUCAAGUGAUGAUUAUUGGAGGUAGAGCACUGUUUGGACGAGGGGCCCCUCUCGGGUUACCGAAUUCAGACAAACUCCGAAUGCCAAUUAAUUUAACUUGGGAGUCAGAACAUGGGUGAUAAGGUCCGUGUUCGAAAGGGAAACAGCCCAGACCACCAGCUAAGGUCCCAAAAUAUAUGUUAAGUGGAAAAGGAUGUGGCGUUGCCCAGACAACUAGGAUGUUGGCUUAGAAGCAGCCAUCAUUUAAAGAGUGCGUAAUAGCUCACUAGUCGAGUGACACUGCGCCGAAAAUGUACCGGGGCUAAACAUAUUACCGAAGCUGUGGAUUGUCCUUUGGACAAUGGUAGGAGAGCGUUCUAAGGGCGUUGAAGCAUGAUCGUAAGGACAUGUGGAGCGCUUAGAAGUGAGAAUGCCGGUGUGAGUAGCGAAAGACGGGUGAGAAUCCCGUCCACCGAUUGACUAAGGUUUCCAGAGGAAGGCUCGUCCGCUCUGGGUUAGUCGGGUCCUAAGCUGAGGCCGACAGGCGUAGGCGAUGGAUAACAGGUUGAUAUUCCUGUACCACCUAUAAUCGUUUUAAUCGAUGGGGGGACGCAGUAGGAUAGGCGAAGCGUGCGAUUGGAUUGCACGUCUAAGCAGUAAGGCUGAGUAUUAGGCAAAUCCGGUACUCGUUAAGGCUGAGCUGUGAUGGGGAGAAGACAUUGUGUCUUCGAGUCGUUGAUUUCACACUGCCGAGAAAAGCCUCUAGAUAGAAAAUAGGUGCCCGUACCGCAAACCGACACAGGUAGUCAAGAUGAGAAUUCUAAGGUGAGCGAGCGAACUCUCGUUAAGGAACUCGGCAAAAUGACCCCGUAACUUCGGGAGAAGGGGUGCUCUUUAGGGUUAACGCCCAGAAGAGCCGCAGUGAAUAGGCCCAAGCGACUGUUUAUCAAAAACACAGGUCUCUGCUAAACCGUAAGGUGAUGUAUAGGGGCUGACGCCUGCCCGGUGCUGGAAGGUUAAGAGGAGUGGUUAGCUUCUGCGAAGCUACGAAUCGAAGCCCCAGUAAACGGCGGCCGUAACUAUAACGGUCCUAAGGUAGCGAAAUUCCUUGUCGGGUAAGUUCCGACCCGCACGAAAGGCGUAACGAUUUGGGCACUGUCUCAACGAGAGACUCGGUGAAAUCAUAGUACCUGUGAAGAUGCAGGUUACCCGCGACAGGACGGAAAGACCCCGUGGAGCUUUACUGUAGCCUGAUAUUGAAAUUCGGCACAGCUUGUACAGGAUAGGUAGGAGCCUUUGAAACGUGAGCGCUAGCUUACGUGGAGGCGCUGGUGGGAUACUACCCUAGCUGUGUUGGCUUUCUAACCCGCACCACUUAUCGUGGUGGGAGACAGUGUCAAGCGGGCAGUUUGACUGGGGCGGUCGCCUCCUAAAAGGUAACGGAGGCGCUCAAAGGUUCCCUCAGAAUGGUUGGAAAUCAUUCAUAGAGUGUAAAGGCAUAAGGGAGCUUGACUGCGAGACCUACAAGUCGAGCAGGGUCGAAAGACGGACUUAGUGAUCCGGUGGUUCCGCAUGGAAGGGCCAUCGCUCAACGGAUAAAAGCUACCCCGGGGAUAACAGGCUUAUCUCCCCCAAGAGUUCACAUCGACGGGGAGGUUUGGCACCUCGAUGUCGGCUCAUCGCAUCCUGGGGCUGUAGUCGGUCCCAAGGGUUGGGCUGUUCGCCCAUUAAAGCGGUACGCGAGCUGGGUUCAGAACGUCGUGAGACAGUUCGGUCCCUAUCCGUCGUGGGCGUAGGAAAUUUGAGAGGAGCUGUCCUUAGUACGAGAGGACCGGGAUGGACAUACCUCUGGUGUACCAGUUGUCGUGCCAACGGCAUAGCUGGGUAGCUAUGUGUGGACGGGAUAAGUGCUGAAAGCAUCUAAGCAUGAAGCCCCCCUC
RNAcentral lists this ribosomal RNA (2799 nucleotides) under Staphylococcus aureus M0388. RNAcentral's name for it is "bacterial LSU rRNA". It matches the Rfam family "Bacterial large subunit ribosomal RNA". Lineage: Bacteria; Bacillati; Bacillota; Bacilli; Caryophanales; Staphylococcaceae. The record is from RNAcentral.